This 119-nucleotide ribosomal RNA is filed under the name Triticum aestivum (bread wheat). The record is from RNAcentral. Lineage: Eukaryota; Viridiplantae; Streptophyta; Magnoliopsida; Poales; Poaceae.
GGAUGCGAUCAUACCAGCACUAAAGCACCGGAUACCAUCAGAACUCCAAAGUUAAGCGUGCUUGGGCGAGAGUAGUACUAGGAUGGGUGACCUCCUGGGAAGUCCUCGUGUUGCAUUCC